AAAAAGGGCUUGUGCUGUGUAUGGCACAUUGUGGUUCUUCUGUUUGGAGAAUCGCGGUGCGGAAUCGAUAUCAAGAGAUUUCAAAAGCGUCAUUUUUGUUAACAGGGCUGCUUGUGGUCAUUAUCCCGGGUGCCCAA
Molecule: non-coding RNA, 137 nt
Organism: Xenopus laevis (African clawed frog)
Lineage: Eukaryota; Metazoa; Chordata; Amphibia; Anura; Pipidae
Source: Rfam